GCAGUUAUGAUGAAAUGGUAGACAUAGGACGCUUAAAAUGUCCGGGCUACGCCGUGUAGGUUCGACUCCUGCCAACCGUA
Molecule: transfer RNA, 80 nt
Filed under: Millerozyma farinosa
Lineage: Eukaryota; Fungi; Ascomycota; Pichiomycetes; Serinales; Debaryomycetaceae
Description: transfer RNA-Leu
Rfam family: tRNA
About the family: Transfer RNA (tRNA) molecules are approximately 80 nucleotides in length. Their secondary structure includes four short double-helical elements and three loops (D, anti-codon, and T loops). Further hydrogen bonds mediate the characteristic L-shaped molecular structure. tRNAs have two regions of fundamental functional importance: the anti-codon, which is responsible for specific mRNA codon recognition, and the 3' end, to which the tRNAs corresponding amino acid is attached (by aminoacyl-tRNA synthetases). tRNAs cope with the degeneracy of the genetic code in two manners: having more than one tRNA (with a specific anti-codon) for a particular amino acid; and 'wobble' base-pairing, i.e. permitting non-standard base-pairing at the 3rd anti-codon position.
Source: RNAcentral